GCAGUGGUGGUUCAGCACUAGAAUUCUUGCCUUCCAUGCAGGAGACCCAGGUUCAAUUCCCAGCCAAUGUA
This 71-nucleotide transfer RNA is filed under the name Loxodonta africana (African savanna elephant). It matches the Rfam family "tRNA". From Rfam's summary of the family: Transfer RNA (tRNA) molecules are approximately 80 nucleotides in length. The record is from Rfam by way of RNAcentral. Lineage: Eukaryota; Metazoa; Chordata; Mammalia; Proboscidea; Elephantidae.